This 807-nucleotide ribosomal RNA is filed under the name uncultured bacterium. Its description in RNAcentral is "bacterial SSU rRNA". It matches the Rfam family "Bacterial small subunit ribosomal RNA", at positions 67 to 891 of the family's 1533-position model. The record is from RNAcentral.
UUCGGUCAAAUGACUUUUGAACUUAGUGGCGGACGGGUGAGUAACGCGUGAGCAACCUGCCUUUCAGAGGGGGAUAACAUUUGGAAACAGAUGCUAAUACCGCAUAAGAUUACAGUACCGCAUGAUACAGUGAUCAAAGGAGCAAUCCGCUGAAAGAUGGGCUCGCGUCCGAUUAGAUAGUUGGUGAGGUAACGGCUCACCAAGUCGACGAUCGGUAGCCGGACUGAGAGGUUGAACGGCCACAUUGGGACUGAGACACGGCCCAGACUCCUACGGGAGGCAGCAGUGGGGAAUAUUGCACAAUGGGCGAAAGCCUGAUGCAGCAACGCCGCGUGAGGGAAGACGGUUUUCGGAUUGUAAACCUCUGUUUUCGGUGACGAACAAAUGACGGUAACCGAGUAGGAAGCCACGGCUAACUACGUGCCAGCAGCCGCGGUAAUACGUAGGUGGCAAGCGUUAUCCGGAAUUACUGGGUGUAAAGGGAGCGCAGGCGGGAUAGCAAGUCAGCUGUGAAAACUAUGGGCUCAACCCAUAAACUGCAGUUGAAACUGUUAUUCUUGAGUGGAGUAGAGGCAAGCGGAAUUCCGAGUGUAGCGGUGAAAUGCGUAGAUAUUCGGAGGAACACCAGUGGCGAAGGCGGCUUGCUGGGCUCUAACUGACGCUGAGGCUCGAAAGUGUGGGGAGCAAACAGGAUUAGAUACCCUGGUAGUCCACACUGUAAACGAUGAUUGCUAGGUGUGGGGGGUCUGACCCCCUCCGUGCCGGAGUUAACGCAAUAAGCAAUCCACCUGGGGAGUACGGCCGCAA